UACGUAGGUGGCAAGCGUUGUCCGGAAUUACUGGGCGUAAAGAGCUCGUAGGUGGUUUGUCGCGUUGUUCGUGAAAACUCACAGCUUAACUGUGGGCGUGCGGGCGAUACGGGCAGACUGGAGUACUGCAGGGGAGACUGGAAUUCCUGGUGUAGCGGUGGAAUGCGCAGAUAUCAGGAGGAACACCGGUGGCGAAGGCGGGUCUCUGGGCAGUAACUGACGCUGAGGAGCGAAAGCGUGGGGAGCGAACAGG
Molecule: ribosomal RNA, 253 nt
Filed under: uncultured bacterium
Lineage: Bacteria
Description: partial 16S ribosomal RNA
Rfam family: Bacterial small subunit ribosomal RNA
Source: RNAcentral